ACGGUGGGGAAGAGAGGUCUGAAGGGCGGUAAGGGGGAGCAGGGUCCUCCUGGACUGGACCAGCCCUGUCCUGUGGGACAGGAUGGACUGCCCAUACCAGGAUGUUGGCACAAGUGAUGACUAACAUCAAGCAUGGCCACUGUACAUAUUGAUAUGGUAUAUAUUGCAACUGAAUACUACAUCGCAUUUAUGUUCUUUUUUGCCUUUUUAUGGAAACGUUUUAUAUAAUAUAUAGAGAUUUUUUUGUUUGUUAUUUUGAGUCAACAAUAUUAACCAGACCGCAUAUAUCGAUCGAUACAGAUAUUUUUUGUAAACAUAGACUCUGGAUAUAAAGUAAAAUGGAGUCAAUGAGACACAGACAUCUUUGAGAAACAUCAAGACAGAGAAAUAAAGCAGCAAACAGACUCCCAACCUAACGGACAUACAGACACAUGCUGGAAAGUGGAUGGAUAGGGAGAGUGGUCUUACUAAUGGAGUCUCGUCUGCCAUAUUGCUGCCUGGUCAUUAAUUUUGCAUGGGAGUGUGUGCUCGCGCAGCCCUGCUCAACCCCACGGAUGGACAGACCUCCUGGUGUGGUAAAUGGAGGAGUGUUGGUCAGUGCUCUUCUCCUCUCUCUGUUUUUUAAAGGAGGAGAAGGAGGAGGAGAGGAGGAGACAGAAGCUCAAACGCAAGCGUCUCGCUCUCUCUCUACCCAGAGGGCCUGGAGGACAGAGGACAGACAGUCAUGGGAGCAAAGAGGACAGACAACCUCUAUUGAGAGAGUCAUGAAACAGUUCCGUGCAAUUCAGUUCAUUGAAGAAUACUGAGAUCCUGCAUUAUGGAAAAAUACCACUAGAGGGCGACACAGAACACUUCAUUUACACUUUCACCUGAAGAGGAAUCUCACCCAUUGGCUGUUGUAGUUUUUUACCACACUCACAGUUGGUUCUGGGCUAUAGAGGCAAGGAUUUACCUAUGAUUACACAAUAAUAAUAAUAAUAAUAAUAUAUGAUGUCUGUGGAUUCACCCGACGGAUAUGAUGAAAGUGUUUUUAUGAUAUGGAAUAUGACAAUUUAAUUUGUUGCUCUUCUUUACUUUAGUGUUUCCAUUUAAUAAAGUGCAUGAUCAACAAGUCACAUCAUUAUAUAUAGUAGCUUCCCCCAUACCAGCACACAAAGGCAAUAAGUUACUGAGGUAUUUACUUUGCAAAGAACAAUCUCUAACAGUCUUUCCAUGUAAAAUGCCACAAGGCAUUGUUUCUUUAUGCAGAUGUUUCUUUUUUGUGAGUGGGUGACACUACUGGGAGUGAUGACAAGUGUGAUGUUUUAUUUGAUUUUAUCUAGUUCAGUUACCUUUGCAUUCCUGUGCAUGGACGUGUUUGUAUAAUAUACAGAUGCAUACUAAGUUCAUUGUGUUCAAUUCAAAGUCAGAACUGAAGGAGCCAUUUGCAGUAUUAACAAAUAUGGAGUAAUCCAUCAAUGAAGUUGAAUAUGAAGUUCAUUUGAAUAUUAAGUCACUUUGUGAUUUGUAUUUGGCAUUCAUCAGAUGCCAAUGAGAAAUAUCACAUCAGUAUUUUCUGACAGCGUUGACAGUACAGUGUUGAAGACGUAUAUUUAAGUAUUAUCACUUAACCUUAGCUAAAGAGACAUUUAGAUGAAAUACUGUUUUCUCAACAACAGUAUGAAUUCUUGCUGCUGACUUAAAAUUGUAUUGUUUGUUUUUCUUAACCAACGAGUUUAGUCAUAUAAGACAAGAGUUCACAGACUGAAGUACAAUAAUGUACCCAAAGUCAUUGAUUUAAUAAUAGUUUUACUCAUUGAUCCACAUUGACACACCAUGACAAAAAGGUCAUCAUUGACGGUUGGUUUAACUAUACCUACUUGUUUUUUUUUUUUAUACAUUAUCACAUCAUGAAUGACAUUUUUUCAUUUUUUCUGAUUUACAUGUUUCUUUUCUGACUUUAUGGAUUGUCUUUUGGAGAUGUAUCUUCUUGGUGCUCGAUCACUCUUUCUGACUUUAUGAAUUCUCUUUUGGAAAUCUAUCUACUUGGUGCUCGAUCACUCUGCGUUUCUGUUUUUCUCAAGUCUUCCUGUAUGGUCC
Salvelinus namaycush (lake trout) is the source of this 2079-nucleotide long non-coding RNA. RefSeq lists it as uncharacterized. The record is from RefSeq and is a predicted model, not a curated record. NCBI's taxonomy places the organism in Eukaryota, Metazoa, Chordata, Actinopteri, Salmoniformes, Salmonidae. The transcript is spliced from 3 exons.